UACGAAGGGGGCUAGCGUUGUUCGGAAUCACUGGGCGUAAAGCGCUCGUAGGCGGAUCUUUAAGUCAGAGGUGAAAUCCCAAGGCUCAACCUUGGAACUGCCUUUGAUACUGGCGAUCUUGAGUCCGGGAGAGGUGAGUGGAACUCCGAGUGUAGAGGUGAAAUUCGUAGAUAUUCGGAAGAACACCAGUGGCGAAGGCGGCUCACUGGCCCGGUACUGACGCUGAGGUGCGAAAGCGUGGGGAGCAAACAGG
Molecule: ribosomal RNA, 253 nt
Filed under: uncultured bacterium
Lineage: Bacteria
Description: partial 16S ribosomal RNA
Rfam family: Bacterial small subunit ribosomal RNA
Source: RNAcentral